Non-coding RNA from Vicia faba (fava bean), 339 nucleotides. The record is from the annotation of a GenBank genome assembly. NCBI's taxonomy places the organism in Eukaryota, Viridiplantae, Streptophyta, Magnoliopsida, Fabales, Fabaceae.
UUAGUUCACCUGAUUCCGCGGUACCCAUAUGAGAUUCACGUGCAAAUGUCAAAAACCUCUAUUUAUUAUUUUAACCUUCUAAUUUUGCCGGCUUUGGUCCGUUUCCACUUAAUACGCCGUCGUUUUAUCCCUCACUUCUUCUCCUCACUCGUCGGUUACUCUAAAAUACUCGAAUCCCACUCUCUUCAAUUUCAUUUCUUCACACUACUCCGUGUUGACUCAGUUUUUCAACUCGCUCUCUCUGCAUUUUCUUCUCUCUCUUCAUCUGGUACUCUCUCUCUCUCUCUCUCUCUCUCUCUAUGUUCGUUUCUGACCCGUACGAUUCACUGUGAUUUGUAA